RNAcentral lists this ribosomal RNA (324 nucleotides) under uncultured eukaryote. RNAcentral's name for it is "partial 18S ribosomal RNA". It matches the Rfam family "Eukaryotic small subunit ribosomal RNA", at positions 1470 to 1796 of the family's 1831-position model. The record is from RNAcentral.
CCCUUAGAUGUUCUGGGCUGCACGCGCGCUACACUGAUGCGAUCAACAAGUUUUUCCUAUGUCGAUAGACACGGGUAAUCUUUUGAACUCGCAUCGUGAUGGGGAUAGAUUAUUGUAAUUAUUAAUCUUCAACGAGGAAUUCCUAGUAGGAGCAAAUCAUCAGUUUGCAUCGAUUACGUCCCUGCCCUUUGUACACACCGCCCGUCGCUGCUACCGAUUGGUUGAUCUGGUGAAUUAUUCGGACUGCCGGCUGAAGGGGUUUCCUCAUCUGCCAGCGGAAAGUCUUGUUAACCCUAUCAACUAGAGGAAGCAGAAGUCGUAACA